GGUUUCUGCGGGGCCUCCCGCGUUAACCCUUCGCUUCCCAAGGGCUUGGGGUACGAGGGCCCCGCCAUUCCUUCCUCCCCAGAAACCCAGGCUCGGCUGGGAAUGGAAACCCGGGUUGUAUCUUGGCUGCAUAGGAAGUAGGAGUUGUGACCCAGGAGUCGGAAUUCAGAGCCCCAAGGAGGUUGACAAGCUCGUUAUUGGCCCCGUUCCCCGGAAACAAGGUCCAGAUCUUGCUCGUUUUGGACCUCGGCAUCAUCCUCAACUUGCCAGUUAGCGGGCUUCCCCCUUCCCCCGUCUCCUGGGUUUGUCGAGGGUGGGCGGGGGAUUCUACAUCGCGGGCGAAAAUGCCCCCUAGGGGCCGUUUCGAAAUGUGCGGGGGCAUUUUUUGGGGUGUCCCAAUUGCAAGGUACAGCCCCUGUCGUUUUGAAGGUAGGGAGCAGGCCUGCGUGAAGAAUUGUCCCGCCCAGGACGUCCGUGGUCUCUCCGUUGAGAAGCCCUUUCACAUGAUGCUUAUACCGUGGCUGGCAUAUAGUAGAUGUGAGAGUGACGUCGGGAGAAUCUAGAAGGAGCUUGGGCAGCAGGGAAACUCAGGCACACAAAAGGGGAGACAGCAGCCUAACUCCUAUCCAAAGGCUUUGAGACACAACUAAGAUCACAAGAUGCGUACCGCCCUGCCUCCGAGAGUCUAUGCUCCAGAAAUUCCAGCACCAGCACAUGAACAGUUACGAUAAGGAAGUUCACCGUGACAGGGUUUGGAACAACAAGAAACGGGGGAAAAAAUGAGAGUCAUCUUUGGAGCCCAGGCGAAUGACAGAAGCAUCAACUAUCACUUGGUGGCAGCAUACCCAAGUGUAGGUCUUGUCCUACUAAUCAGUAAUCGGCGAGCGGAAAGGUGGAGUGCGCAUGCUGGAAUGGCCGUGGCCUUCAGACCACAGUUCUGCUCUGGCCUGUUCUAGGACUCCCACCCCUGAUCUUCCUGUAAACCGCAAGCACCCAGGAAAGGCGCUGUCCCCGGUGGGUGUGUACGACGUGCCGGCCCCGGCCGAAUGCCUCAUAGGGCAAGCAGGAGUGUCCAAGCCUCCUCACUCCAGGCCUUGGCCCAGCUGCCUCACUCCAGCUUACAGAUGACAAAACAAAGUCUUCACGCACACCUCCGUCCAAGGGCACAUGACAUCCUUAGGCUUUUCCAGAUCCUUUAGAGUGGCGGAAGGACUUGAGAGCCUGAGCUCUUCCAACAAACACGUCCACGUGUGCCUGUGGGGUCCUCGAGAGCGAUACUGUGCCCAGGCUUCUCGUGGCCACGGCGCCUGGCGGGGUGAGCGGACUGGUGGGAUGCGUGGUAGCUAUGCCUUCCCUGGGCAACCUGAGAGGCAAAAUGAUUGAACUCGGUCACCGCAUAAGUUUGAGGUCUACAGCAUGAUGGUUUGACCUGGUGAAAUGGUUGCUGCGAUAGGUUUAGCUUCUCAUGUAAAUACAAUAAAGAAAAGAAAAAGAAAAAGGAGAAGAAAUUCUCCUU
Long non-coding RNA from Enhydra lutris kenyoni (northern sea otter), 1516 nucleotides. RefSeq lists it as uncharacterized. The transcript has 4 exons. Lineage: Eukaryota; Metazoa; Chordata; Mammalia; Carnivora; Mustelidae. The record is from RefSeq and is a predicted model, not a curated record.